GACGAACGCGGGCGGCGUGCCUAAUACAUGCAAGUAGAACGCUGAGGUUUGGUGUUUACACUAGACUGAUGAGUUGCGAACGGGUGAGUAACGCGUAGGUAACCUGCCUCAUAGCGGGGGAUAACUAUUGGAAACGAUAGCUAAUACCGCAUAAGAGUAAUUAACACAUGUUAGUUAUUUAAAAGGAGCAAUUGCUUCACUGUGAGAUGGACCUGCGUUGUAUUAGCUAGUUGGUGAGGUAAAGGCUCACCAAGGCGACGAUACAUAGCCGACCUGAGAGGGUGAUCGGCCACACUGGGACUGAGACACGGCCCAGACUCCUACGGGAGGCAGCAGUAGGGAAUCUUCGGCAAUGGACGGAAGUCUGACCGAGCAACGCCGCGUGAGUGAAGAAGGUUUUCGGAUCGUAAAGCUCUGUUGUUAGAGAAGAACGUUGGUAGGAGUGGAAAAUCUACCAAGUGACGGUAACUAACCAGAAAGGGACGGCUAACUACGUGCCAGCAGCCGCGGUAAUACGUAGGUCCCGAGCGUUGUCCGGAUUUAUUGGGCGUAAAGCGAGCGCAGGCGGUUCUUUAAGUCUGAAGUUAAAGGCAGUGGCUUAACCAUUGUACGCUUUGGAAACUGGAGGACUUGAGUGCAGAAGGGGAGAGUGGAAUUCCAUGUGUAGCGGUGAAAUGCGUAGAUAUAUGGAGGAACACCGGUGGCGAAAGCGGCUCUCUGGUCUGUAACUGACGCUGAGGCUCGAAAGCGUGGGGAGCAAACAGG
RNAcentral lists this ribosomal RNA (765 nucleotides) under uncultured Streptococcus sp. RNAcentral describes it as "bacterial SSU rRNA". It matches the Rfam family "Bacterial small subunit ribosomal RNA", at positions 28 to 776 of the family's 1533-position model. Lineage: Bacteria; Bacillati; Bacillota; Bacilli; Lactobacillales; Streptococcaceae. The record is from RNAcentral.